RNAcentral lists this ribosomal RNA (330 nucleotides) under uncultured eukaryote. RNAcentral's name for it is "partial 18S ribosomal RNA". It matches the Rfam family "Eukaryotic small subunit ribosomal RNA", at positions 1470 to 1796 of the family's 1831-position model. The record is from RNAcentral.
CCCUUAGAUGUUCUGGGCCGCACGCGCGCUACACUGAUGCAUUCAACGAGUCUAAAACCUGGUCUGAUAGGGCUGGGUAAUCUUUUGAAUGUGCAUCGUGAUUGGGAUAGAUGAUUGCAAUUCUUCAUCUUCAACGAGGAAUGCCUAGUAAACGCAAGUCAUCAGCUUGCAUUGAUUACGUCCCUGCCCUUUGUACACACCGCCCGUCGCUCCUACCGAUUGGAUGUUCCGAUGAAUACCAUGGACUGAGAGUAUGAAUGGGUUCGCCUAUUUCUGCUUCUCGGGAAGUGGAGUAAAUCUUAACAUUUAGAGGAAGGAGAAGUCGUAACA